AUGGUGGAACCAGUGAAGCUCAUUGGAGGCUUUGGCAGCCCGUUCGUCCACCGCGCCGAGGUCGCCUUGCGUCUCAAAGGAGUUCCCUACGAGCUCAUCCUAGAGGACAUGACUAACAAGAGCGAGCUGUUGCUGAAGCACAAUCCCGUCCACAAGAAGGUCCCUGUGCUCCUCCACGGGGACAAGGCUGUCUGCGAGUCUCUCCUCAUUGUCGAGUACGUCGACGAGGCCUUUGACGGGCCACCUAUCCUGCCGACUGACCCUCAUGAAAGGUCUGAGGCCCGCUUCUGGUCCAAAUUCUUUGUGGAAAAGUGCUUGUUGUCCCUGUGGCUAGCGCUGUGGACGGAGGGCGAGGAGCAGAAGGUCUUUAUUAUGGACGCAAAAGAGAACCUCACGCUAGUGGAGGCACAACUCAAAGAGAAGAGGUUCUUUGGAGGCGCCACAAUUGGCCUCGCCGACAUCGCCGGUGCCAGCCUACUGUCUCGCUGGGCAAGCGUGAUGCAAGAGGUCGCUGGGGUGAGGGUGAUGACGGACGAUGAGUAUCCUGCUAUCCACCGGUGGAUCGAGGACUACAACGCCGACGAAGCUGUCAAGGAGUGCUUGCCGGACAGAAACCAUCUCAUCUCCUACUUCACCAUGAUCAGGGGAAAGUGUAUCUCCGCGGCCAAGUCCAUGCUACCCAAUUAUCUAGCCAAGAAAUAG
This 702-nucleotide ribosomal RNA is filed under the name Triticum aestivum (bread wheat). RNAcentral's name for it is "partial small subunit ribosomal RNA". Lineage: Eukaryota; Viridiplantae; Streptophyta; Magnoliopsida; Poales; Poaceae. The record is from RNAcentral.